This 389-nucleotide ribosomal RNA is filed under the name uncultured eukaryote. RNAcentral describes it as "partial 18S ribosomal RNA". It matches the Rfam family "Eukaryotic small subunit ribosomal RNA", at positions 592 to 976 of the family's 1831-position model. The record is from RNAcentral.
CAAUAGCGUAUAUUAAAGUUGUUGCAGUUAAAAAGCUCGUAGUUGGACUUUGGAGUAGCCGCUCGGACCACCGAGAGGUGCGCUUUCUGGGUUGGUUAAUCUUUCUUGUACCUCGCUCUAGGAAAAGAAGCAAUUCUUUUUAUCUAAACUGGAUCGAGGACUGAUUACUGUGAGAAAACUAGAGUGUUCAAGGCAGGCCGGAGUCGCUUGAAUAUUGCAGCAUGGAAUAAUGGAAUAGGAUCACGGUCUUAUUUUGUUGGUUUCUAGGAUCGAGAUAAUGAUUAAUAGGGACAGUUGGGGGCAUUCGUAUUUGGCAGUCAGAGGUGAAAUUCAUGGAUUUGCUGAAGACGAACUUCUGCGAAAGCAUUUGCCAAGGAUGUUUUCGUUAA